Molecule: unclassified non-coding RNA, 342 nt
Filed under: soil metagenome
Description: partial contains 5.8S ribosomal RNA, internal transcribed spacer 2, and large subunit ribosomal RNA
Rfam family: 5.8S ribosomal RNA (bases 1-120)
Source: RNAcentral
GAUGAAGAACGCAGUGAAAUGCGAUAAGUAAUGUGAAUUGCAGAAUUCAGUGAAUCAUCGAAUCUUUGAACGCACAUUGCGCCCGCCAGCAUUCUGGCGGGCAUGCCUGUUCGAGCGUCAUUUCAACCCUCGAGCCCCCCCGGGGGCCUCGGUGUUGGGGGACGGCACACCAGCCGCCCCCGAAAUGCAGUGGCGACCCCGCCGCAGCCUCCCCUGCGUAGUAGCACACACCUCGCACCGGAGCGCGGAGGCGGUCACGCCGUAAAACGCCCAACUUUCUUAGAGUUGACCUCGGAUCAGGUAGGAAUACCCGCUGAACUUAAGCAUAUAAUAAGCGGAGGA